CAGCAUCCCUCUGCAUUUGAGCGACUCAAAACGAAUUUCGAAGUCGACGUCGACGGUUGUGUUUUGUCGCUUUUUUCUUGCUUCCAAAGAAUACUAAUCUAAACAAAAUAAAGCUUUUAACUAGAACCACAAACAAAUAGCAAAUAACUAAGCACUAAAGCUAGAGGAAACCCCUAACUACAAAAGAUAAAACCAACUAAAAUAUGCAAAAGUUAAUCAUACGCACCGUUAAUAAGCACCAAGUGAAAAACUGACUAAAGGAAAACGCAGAGCAAAAAUAAAGGACAAACAAAGGAGUAAAACUCUCCAGAGAAGGAGCCAAAAGCAGCAGCAUCAGCAUCAGCAAAGAACAUUCUGCUGCAUAAAUAAUACACUCGACAUACGUAUACGCCAUAUAGGCCAGGACAUACCAGCAGGAUAUACCACACACACACAAGGCGGACA
Molecule: long non-coding RNA, 444 nt
Organism: Drosophila erecta
Lineage: Eukaryota; Metazoa; Arthropoda; Insecta; Diptera; Drosophilidae
Exons: 2
Source: RefSeq, a predicted model, not a curated record